Molecule: ribosomal RNA, 253 nt
Filed under: uncultured bacterium
Lineage: Bacteria
Description: partial 16S ribosomal RNA
Rfam family: Bacterial small subunit ribosomal RNA
Source: RNAcentral
GACAGAGGUGCCGAGCGUUAGGCGGAAUCACUGGGCUUAAAGCGUGUGUAGGCGGACCGUUAAGUACCUUGUGAAAUCCCACAGCUUAACUGUGGAACUGCUCGGUAUACUGCUGGUCUUGAGCCACUCAGGGGCUACCGGAACAAAUGGUGGAGCGGUGAAAUGCGUAGAUAUCAUGUGGAACGCCAAUGGUGAAAACAGGUAGCUGGGGGUGUGCUGACGCUGAGACACGAAAGCCAGGGGAGCAAACGGG